ACUCCUACGGGAGGCAGCAGUAGGGAAUAUUGGUCAAUGGGCGGGAGCCUGAACCAGCCAUGCCGCGUGCAGGAAGACGGCCUUCUGGGUUGUAAACUGCUUUUACCAGGGAAGAAAACCCCCAUGCGUGGGGAAUUGACGGUACCUGGCGAAUAAGCACCGGCUAACUCCGUGCCAGCAGCCGCGGUAAUACGGAGGGUGCAAGCGUUGUCCGGAUUUAUUGGGUUUAAAGGGUGCGUAGGCGGCUUUUUAAGUCAGUGGUGAAAUGCGGCAGCUCAACUGCCGGAGUGCCAUUGAUACUGGAAAGCUUGAGUAUAGAUGAGGCAGGCGGAAUUUAUGGUGUAGCGGUGAA
Molecule: ribosomal RNA, 352 nt
Filed under: uncultured bacterium
Lineage: Bacteria
Description: bacterial SSU rRNA
Rfam family: Bacterial small subunit ribosomal RNA
Source: RNAcentral